AAACUUUCAACAACGGAUCUCUUGGUUCUGGCAUCGAUGAAGAACGCAGCGAAAUGCGAUAAGUAAUGUGAAUUGCAGAAUUCAGUGAAUCAUCGAAUCUUUGAACGCACAUUGCGCCCCUUGGUAUUCCGGGGGGCAUGCUUGUUCGAGCGUCAUUA
RNAcentral lists this ribosomal RNA (158 nucleotides) under Hyaloscyphaceae sp. RNAcentral's name for it is "5.8S ribosomal RNA". It matches the Rfam family "5.8S ribosomal RNA". Rfam says of the family: 5.8S ribosomal RNA (5.8S rRNA) is a component of the large subunit of the eukaryotic ribosome. It is transcribed by RNA polymerase I as part of the 45S precursor that also contains 18S and 28S rRNA. Functionally, it is thought that 5.8S rRNA may be involved in ribosome translocation. Lineage: Eukaryota; Fungi; Ascomycota; Leotiomycetes; Helotiales; Hyaloscyphaceae. RNAcentral also lists the same sequence under 2 other names. The record is from RNAcentral.